ACCAUGAGAGUCGGGAACACCCGAAGUCCGUAGCCUAACCGCAGGGGGGCGCGGCCGAAGGUGGGUUCGAUAAUUGGGGUGAAGUCGUAACAAGGUAUC
Molecule: ribosomal RNA, 99 nt
Filed under: uncultured bacterium
Lineage: Bacteria
Description: partial 16S ribosomal RNA
Rfam family: Bacterial small subunit ribosomal RNA
Source: RNAcentral